This 410-nucleotide ribosomal RNA is filed under the name Verrucomicrobiota bacterium. RNAcentral describes it as "Verrucomicrobia bacterium partial 16S ribosomal RNA". It matches the Rfam family "Bacterial small subunit ribosomal RNA", at positions 355 to 776 of the family's 1533-position model. Lineage: Bacteria; Pseudomonadati; Verrucomicrobiota. The record is from RNAcentral.
UGGGGAAUAUUGCGCAAUGGGGGAAACCCUGACGCAGCGACGCCGCGUGCGGGAUGAAGGCCUUCGGGUUGUAAACCGCUUUUGAUUGGGAGCAAGCUUUCGGGUGAGUGUACCUUUCGAAUAAGGUCCGGCUAAAUACGUGCCAGCAGCCGCGGUAAUACGUAUGGACCGAGCGUUGUCCGGAAUCAUUGGGCGUAAAGGGUACGUAGGCGGCCCAGUAAGUUAGAAGUGAAAUAAUAUAGCUCAACUAUAUAAAGCUUUUAAAACUGCUAGGCUUGAGAGAUGGAAGGGAAAGUGGAAUUCCUAGUGUAGCGGUGAAAUGCGCAGAUAUUAGGAAGAAUACCGGUGGCGAAGGCGACUUUCUGGUCAUCAUCUGACGCUGAGGUACGAAAGCGUGGGUAGCAAACAGG